AGAGCCUUCCGCUUCACCUCGGUCUUGAUGGGGCGCACCACCGACUGCACCUCGUCGGAGUUGAUGAUUCUCGACAGGUCGGAGUUGCUCAUCUUCGACCUCGGCAGGACGUACUUGUUCUUCCUCUCCGACGCCUUAUCGAAGGUGCCGAAUACCGCGUCCAGCUUCUCGAACGCCGACCUGGUCCAGAUGAUGAACCUCCCGAGGUGACCACCCGGAGCGAGCUUCAGCAGGUUGAGCCGCUCCACAUUCAUCACGUCCACGCCGGGGAUGUUGCGGAACGCCUUCACAAUCUUAGACCCCUCCGUGCCAUACACGAUCAGGGGACCCUUGCGCGACACAUAGCGCCUAUUUCUCAUCUUCCCCUUUCCGGACCGGAUGGCGUGGCUGUCCUUGGCCUUCUCGGCGUCCGCGUACGCCCCGAUCUGCUUCAGGAUCUUGAUGGCCGACGAGGUCUUCUCCACGCUCUCGGCCGAGUCGGAGAUGACCAGCGGGACCUCAGGGAUCCCCUCGAUCCGGUGCCCGCGGGCCAUCACCAGAGCCGGAACGGCGGAGGCGGCCAGGGCCGACACCACCGCGUACCUCCGCAGGUUGAGGUUCACGCGCCGAUGCCAGCGCCGCCAUAUCUUCGUCGGGGCGAACAUCCGCCCGCCACGGCACAUGUUCCCGAAGGCACCCUGGCCGGCGCGGUGAGUACCGCCGCCGGGCACGCGGGGAAUACGAGACACGGCACGCCCCGUCCCCCACGACUCUGCCGAGGUCUGGUGGCCGGCGCGCUUCGACACGGCGUACGGCUGCCGCUUGUUCUUCGAGAUGUUGGAAUGGACGAAGCGGACGACAUCCGGCCGGAUGGUUGCCUUCAGGACAUCCGGCAGCGGGACGGCGUUCGACCCGUCCGUCGCCAUGUCGCCCUCCAGGGCGUGGACGGUCACCAGCGGCCUCACGGCGGCGACCAUGGUGCUCCGGUGCGGCGGCGGCAACAGAGCAAGGCGAAGUAGAUCUCAAGAUGUUAGGGUUUACACACGCCACACUUUAUAUUCACUACAUUAGGGUUCGGUCUAAUGGGCCGGGGGCCUCACGUGGUCCAAGUCCACCUCUUCCGGAACCAUGUGUGUUACCCAUCAACCCUCUUCCCACAGACCCCACACCCUCUAAUUAUUACUGAAAUUGGAUUGCAGCAGCCUUAGGGAGCCAGCCCAUACUAUCUUCAGCCAGUCCGAUUUCACAAGGUGGUCAACCGAUUAGGCUGACUUUCAAGAUUUUUAUGACAAUGGGUUUGACCUAUAUUAUCUUUGACUAGUAAAAUUUGGCUCAUUUAUAAUGAAAUAGUUAACUUAUUAGGCUCUACAUGUAGUCCAUCCAUCAAAAGAGUUUUCUUGACACAAGUCAACGCCACAUCCAUUCCAUUUUAAAGUCUAGGAACUAUAGUUUCCUUAAAUAUCCAAAAAAUGAGUUCAUUAAAUGGAGGUAUUUAUGAAAAAUUUGUAAAAGCACUUAGGAGAGCUUGCAAAGAAAAAAUACUAGCUAAUACCUUAAUGUUCAGUCUAGGGAGAUGGACCCAUUAUUAAUUUCAAUUGUUGUCCUUUUAAAAGAAUAGCAGAAAACUAGCAGUAGAGUAGGUUGACCCAAUAUAUAAAAAAGUAUAUGGGUGACUAUUGACUAGCAUAUUGACCUAGUGAGUUGACUCAAUGUCUAUUAACCUGUGCACCAACCCAUUAAAUAUAGAUGGAAGAAAAGUAUUCAAAAUUAAAAUAAGCAUGAACAACUUAACCCCCCCCCCCCUUUUUGACAUCCUAACUAACCUACAUUGGGGUAAAAAAUUAAAUAUAUAUAGCUAUUGUAAUGUCAAACUAACCAUGACAUAUAAGCACCACAUUGUGGAUCCUCCUACACAUCUUAUAACUAUUAUUUAAUUUUGGUGGUUAAAUUAUUCUCCCGAGAAAAUAGAUUAAUCAUGUAAGUUCCCAUGAAGAGCAAUACUACCUAGUUUAACCUCACAUACCAACAUGUUGGUACUAUCAUGAGGCAUGCUCAUGCCAAUCAAUGUGUGUGCAUGUCCUCUAUGUGUACACCUACAUCGUCAUAGUUUCACAUCAUGUAUAUGUUGUUGCUAUGUCAAUGCCCAUUGAGGUUUAUGAGAAGUGAUUAUAUACCAUGGUGCUACCAUGGCAAUGUUGUGUUAUGCCAUGUUAGUGGCCAGCAAGAUUUAUGAGAAGAUGAAGUAAGCCUACCAUUUUCACUAGUGAUGUUAACUUGUUCUGCAUACAUUUGCAUGCAUCUCCUAUGCUCACAUACAUGACAUAUUGUGCCAUUGCAUACACCUACAUUUAUAAUAUUAACAUAUCUGUGAUGUGUUGUGUUUGCUUGCUUAGUGCACAUACAUGUAUGUCUAUGUAUAUUCAAGUGUGUGCAAAAGUUUUACUUGGGAAAACCUUACUCUACCAAGUGAAGGGCCAUCAUACCUUUGACACUUGCUUAAUUUUGUAAGGUGUCUUUUCUUAUGAACUUUUUUCUCUUUUUCAUCAAUCACAAAUUUCUAUAAUUGUUCAACAUACAAAUAUUCAUCCAAAUAAUCAUUCGAAAAGACAAAGUUAACAUCAAAUCGAAAUAAACUAUCUCAUUUCUGCUAUUAUAAUAAAAAAAUCAUAGUAGUUUCAAAUGUAGUAACAUGUAAAAAUCCUUUUAGAUAAUACCAUAGUACUACACAUCUUUUUAUUACUCUUGCCUUAAAUUUAUGCACACUACUAUUUUGGUUAUACUUCACUUUGAAAACCCACAUCAUAUCUAUGAAUCCAUUCUUUCACAAUGAAUUCAUGAACCUCUGUGUCAUUCCUUUCAAUUGAGAUAAUUUCUUAGCCUAUAAAAUUCCCUUAUUUUUCCUUACCUUAAGUCUUUUUGUAGACUAUUCUUAUAAAGCCAUAAAAAUAAAAUUUUAUGGCUCAUAUAUUUCAAAAAUCAUUUGGAUAUCUUUGAGUGUUUUUCUGAAAAAAGCUUAAUAGGGGGGAAGCGUCACACGUCAUACUAUGCCCCAAUUGUAUCAACUCUACAUUUUCGAGAAGGGAAGAUUAAUAGGUCAUUACAUUAACUAGCCUAAAAAAAUUUCUCAUAGAUUAUAGAGAACUAGGAAGUUGCUUUUUAAUGCAGCCAUUUAGGAAGGCAUGAUUUUCAAAAGGCUUUUAAUUGGACAUUCCUAAAUUUGGGAUUUAUUGGUAGCCAUUGACCUGCUACAAAGCCAAACUUUUAGAGAGACCACUAAAACUUAACAACAUGUCAAAUCCUAUGAAAUAAUGGUCAUGCAUAUGCUUGUCUAAAAGACCCGAUGAUUACCUUUCAAAAAAAAAGAAUAUACAAAAAAUUGGGUUUUUUCUCUUGACAAUGUUCUUGAUAUCGUUCACCCUCUCAUAGCUAGGACUAGUGAAGAGCUUCAGCUUAGCCUAUUGAGCUCUGCAAAAUAGAAUCCUUUGGGCUUCCAAUCUCCCUUAUAAUGAUCAUUUACAUGCGAUUUCGGUGUUUAAUUAAUUUUAUAGGGUAUUUAUUAGUUUUUAGCUCAUGAUUAAGCAUAUGGCUUAAUGUUUUGGUUCGUCAUGGCAUGCCAUUCAGCUUGAUAUGUGAAGAUAGAGGCGUGGGCCAGUGAAGCCCAGCCCAUUAGACUGAGCCCUUUCCGAGUGAAUAAAAACUCCAACCUCCCUUUUGUCUGGGGGGUUUGAAAACCCUAGCAUAUACUGAGCUUCCGUCUCNNNNNNNNNNNNNNNNNNNNACUCUUCAUGUUAAGAUAUAGAGUGUUCUUGAAGUUUGACAUAUCUGUUUAUUACUCUAGAUGCCCUUUAAGAAAAUCAACACAUAAAUCCUUUAAAACUUAAUGCUCUUGUCCAAUAGUAAUUGGUUCAUAAUAAUCUAGUACGGAUCUAAUGAACUUGACUUAACAUGUCUUACAAAAGUAAUGAUAUCUUGAUCAAGUCUCAUAUGAAUCAAACCAAAUAAGAUAUUAGGUGUAAGUAUACUUCGUAUUCUUAAGUUUCAAAUUUUCAAUUCAUAAUAUCUUUAUCGAGAUUAAUUUGUAUGAUUUUUAAUACAUAUUCAAUAUAUAUUUAAAAAAUCUUAUUUGGUGAAUUCAACACUUGAUUGAUCAUAUGAUUGAUGCAACAUUAAAGCCAUUCAAUAAUGUAAAGUCAUAGGUUCAUAGACAAUUAAAUAAGCUUUUAUACCCAUCUUUUCUUUUAUUGAAUUUUUUUUGAUUUCCUUGUUCAAAUCAUUAUUCUAUUAACUAUCAUGAUUUCUAUAGAAAAUGUCAUUCUUGUAUAGUAGCAUAUAAUAUGAUGAAUUCUCAUGAUAUUAUGAUUUGGUUAUUCAUAUACAUAUCAUUAGUAUUUUGUUCAUUAAAUAUAUUAUUAAUUAUACGUUCAAAAUCAGAACAUAUAUGUUCCAUAUAUAUGUUUUCAUAUAUUACAUUAUAAUAAAUAUUUCAUGUUUAUAUAUAAUGUAUUUAUCUAUAUUCAGCCACACAUCUAAUUCGUUAAGUAGAUUAUUUUGAAUUAACCUUUAAUGAUUUUAUCGUCAUCGAAACAUAAUGACUUCAUGACUCUAAUAUACAUAUGUAUGAUAGGAGCACGUUGAUCAUUCAACCUAUUCCUAAAGUAUUUUGAUGAUGUAUUAAGAUGAUAUAUAUGGACAAUUUCAACAAUGAAAGGCAAACAUCUAAGAAGGUAGCAAACUAUAAUGAAGUAAAAAAAGGAGUGCUCUAAAAAAAGUAACAUUGACAAAGAUAAAGUGUUUGUAAAGUACAUGAGAAUAACACAUUCAUUUUGUGUAUGAGAAUAACCUAAAAAAAUAUAUUUUACAUAUUUGAGACCAAGUUUAUCGCGACUUGUAGGUAAAUGAUAAAUAAUAUAAGUACACCUAAUUAUCUUUGGUGGUACAUGGGAUAGUGGGCUAGUAAGAUAAAGAAUUGAAUAAGAAAUUUUUUGAUAUAGAACUGAUGAUGACAUACAAUUAAUCAAAUAAGUGGCAAUAAAAAUAAUAUCACUUUAAAACUCAAGUGAGACAUUCAUAUGCAAAAAAUAAGGUGUGGGCUAUCUCAAUGAUGUGAUACGUUUUCUUCUCACCUAUCCCAUUUUUGUUGAGAGGUAUAUGAAUGAUGCUUUGGGUAGAGAGAAAUUGUGUGAAAGAUGAACCAAAAUAUUCUUUAGUAUUAUUGGAAGGAAUAAUGUAAAUAUUCUUACCAAAUUGAUUUUUAAUUUUAAUAUAAAUAAUUAAAAAUUAGUGAAAUUCUAAAUUGUCAUUAAUAAGGUAAAGCCAGAUUAUACAAGAAUGAUCAUCUAUAAAGGUGAAAAAAUAUUUAAAUCAAGUUUAAAAUAGACACAAUUAAGACCUCAUACAUCGAAAUUGAUUAAAUUAGACAUAGACUCAACUCUAGAGAGCAUUCUUGACCCAAAGUUAAAAUAAUGAUGUUUACCCAAUUGACAAAACUCACAUUUAAUGAAAAAUUAAAAACCAUCAACUUGGGUUUAUUAAGAGAUGUAUGACCUAAUCGACUUUGAAUAUGAUGUCGUGAUGUAAUGACACAUGUAGCAUAGUGAGCUUUCCUCAAAUAGUAUAAAUCAUCAUCUUCAUAUCUUUUCUCAAUCCUCUUCUAUGGCUUCAAGUCCUGAAUGAAAAAGAAAUUAGGAAAUAAUGGCCACCUGAAGAGAGUGUGUGAGUUUACUAACAAAAAUAAAAUUGAAAGAAAACUUAGGAAUAUGUAAAACUAACUUAAAUAGAAGAUUAGGAUUAGGAGCUAUAUAUCCUAUACUAAGGUAACCAUCUACUAAGGUAAUAUUAAAAAGUUCAAGAGGAUUAGAAUAAAAUAUGAAAUUAAUAGAUAUACAUGUAAUAUAGUUGGUAAUACCUGAGUUAAAAACCUAAUGAGGUGGAUCACCUAAAGAAGAUAUAAUUGUACGAGAGAAACAAACAAUAGAUGUCUUAGGCUAUCUAAGGUAGUCACUAGUGCUGAAGCUUAUUUAGUGGCUCAAAAUUGGAGCAUGUGAGAAUAUUUUUAAUUAGAAAGUGACAUGUGGUGUACAACAUGAUAUUGGCAACUCGAUGAAGAUGAUUACAAAGUGCAUAACACAUAUCUUUUGUAUGCCCAUUUUUGCCACAAUAUAUACAUCACACUAUUGGCAAUCUCUAGAUGUUCUACCUCCACCUCCCCCUCUCCUAGAUUGACCACUAGGAGGGUACUCAUAAGACAAUGGCUGAGUAGAUACUUAUGUUGUAUUUUUCAUAGUAGGUAUGGUUUGUAGAGGGCCUUGAUUAAUAAAGACAUGAGGGACAUAUUGAUAGGCUUCAACAAAUGUAUGUAACUCACUCUCAUUACUUCAACAAAUGUAUGAAACUUGACCACUACAAAUUAAUCUUGUUAUUUCUAUAAGACUAAAAGAUUAAUAGAUAAGGAAAGUAACGAGAGUAGAUCUUGAGUGAGAUGAGUAACCUCACCAAAAUAUUAGUUUAGGCUUGACGCACUUUAUUUUAGCUAAUAAUACUCUAAUAUGAUGUUAUAAAUUUGAGAAAUAUUGUUGGAAUUCAUCAACCUUAGUGUUCCCUCACAACUUUGCAUGUGUCCAAAUUAGUGACUAAUGUGGUGAUGCGAGGCUCUAUAGAAUUCUAUAAUAAAUUGAAGAUAAUCAUAUAUUGUUGCCCCCACUACUCAUGAAGAUGUAGAUCAAAAGGCACACCUACUAAGAGAUGAUCAAUCUUACCUUGGUCUUUGAAAUAAAUCUUUAUUUAUUAUUGUCAAUGAUGAUAAUUUUUUCCAUUCAGAUUAUGAUUGGUCAAAACAUUGCUUGGAAUAAUAAAAGAAAUAGUAUUGGAAGGUGUAGGAUUCAGUCCAUCUACUAUGUGGAAUGUUAAUGGUAGGAUGGACCGUGACUGUAAGAUGGUAGAGAAUUGUAACAAAAAGGGCAAGAGUACUAAUAAGCCAUUUUGUGUAAUAGUAGGUCAAAGGUGACAAAGGAUGACAACUGACAACUUAAUGGCAUAACAAUAAGGAUGAAAACAAAGAUAAAAUCUUACUUUGUAACAAGAAUGUUAGUGAACUUAAUUUGUAGGUUCAACAUUACUUAAGGAUCUCUAAUACCUAGAGUAUCAAUGCAUUUUAUCUCAGUUCACAUCUGGAAAUGGAGCACCGAACUCAAGUAGAAUGUACCAUAAUCUGAUCAAUUGCGCACCCAUUACACCAUGCAAGUACCUUAUCCAUUAAACUUUGGGGAGAGCAAGAACGGACUCAAGUUUAGCAGAAGCUCCUCAAAACCGCCCAAACUGCUAGAUCAUUUCUCAAACAGAUCAACCGUCCAAGCGACCUCACCCCCAACCAAACAUGCCCGGUUCGUCCUCAAUCAUCCCCUUGGCCCCCCCUCCUCUGAAACCUCUCCUCAGUCAGCUACCUCCGAGGCCAGUUAGUAAUGGAGAUCACUGGGCAGCACCCGCCCACCGAUCCCCAGGGAAGUCACAAUGCCGUUCAGUAGAUGAGGAACCCCGCAUCAGCUAUUACUGCAUGGUUUGCGGAGAAGAAAUCCAAAUGAAGAGAGAAAACAGCAACCAGACAGAACCCCGGCAUUAUAAAAAUUCGCAAUGAUCUAUGAUCAUCUAGGUGAAACUCGCGAGGGCGAAACUAGGAGCAAGAGCACAGCGGUCUUAAACAGGUCGUGCAAACUCGAACCCGGAAAGGGGAAGCACUUUGCACACGAGGAGACGGGGGGAGCAGGGAGGGGGGAUUCGAUGUCACUGGGUCACGCCGAGCCACUUGGAGAAGUUUUCGAACUCGGUGUAGUCGCUGUCGGAGAUCAUCGUCUGGUACCAGCUCUUCCCCGCGGCCCUGAUGGCGGCUGCUUCUUCCUGCACCGGGCCAAGGACAGGGCUUAGAGAGAGAGAGAGCGAGGGAGAGAGAGCGGAGAAACGGCGCAAAAUCCAGGUCGGGAAGCCGGAGCUGCUCCGGCCCAGGAAACGGAAGCCUCCAUCGUCGUCGUCGUAACAAAAAAAGUCGACGAUUUGCAAGGAAGGGGGAGGAGGGGGAUGUUGCCGUGUAGAUCAGGCUUGAUCGGGCGUUCGCCGGGCUGCUUCAGCCCGUGAUUCUGCCGACUGAAACCAGACGAGCAGCAAACGGCGCGCGCACGAGACCAUGCGGGGACGGGGGCUAAGAUGAGACGUACCUUGGGGAGCUUGGUCCUCUUCUUGUCGAGCUUCUCCUUCUUCGACUUCACCCGCUGGGCCUCGGUCAGAAGCGCCACCCUCCUCGCGGUCUUCGCGUACGGGUUCAGCUUCAGCAUCGCGUUCAGGUUCUUCAGCGGGUUCUUCUUCAGAGCCUUCCGCUUCACCUCGGUCUUGAUGGGGCGCACCACCGACUGCACCUCGUCGGAGUUGAUGAUUCUCGACAGGUCGGAGUUGCUCAUCUUCGACCUCGGCAGGACGUACUUGUUCUUCCUCUCCGACGCCUUGUCGAAGGUGCCGAACACCGCGUCCAGCUUCUCGAACGCCGACCUGGUCCAGAUGAUGAACCUCCCGAGGUGACCACCCGGGGCGAGCUUCAGCAGGUUGAGCCGCUCCACAUUCAUCACGUCCACGCCGGGGAUGUUGCGGAACGCCUUCACAAUCUUAGACCCCUCCGUGCCGUACACGAUCAGGGGACCCCUGCGCGACACGUAGCGCCUGUUCCUCAUCUUCCCCUUUCCGGACCGGA
Molecule: long non-coding RNA, 8710 nt
Filed under: Spirodela polyrhiza (greater duckweed)
Lineage: Eukaryota; Viridiplantae; Streptophyta; Magnoliopsida; Alismatales; Araceae
Description: long non-coding RNA (SPOL_LNC001916)
Source: RNAcentral